RNAcentral lists this long non-coding RNA (6928 nucleotides) under Homo sapiens (human). RNAcentral's name for it is "HSALNT0273153". Lineage: Eukaryota; Metazoa; Chordata; Mammalia; Primates; Hominidae. The record is from RNAcentral.
AACUAAGCAGAGACCAUGAGCUGGGCAGAGGGCGGUGUCUGAGUCAGGAAGGGGUUUUGUGGCUGAAAAACUUGUAGCCACAAAAUAAUGGAGUCCUGAGCUGGACCUUGACAACAUAUGCAAGUUUCAUUUUGUCUGUACUAGACGUGUACAGUUUUGACCGACAAAAGAACAGGGGGAGGAGAAAGAAGGGGAAGGGCUAUGAGGUGAAAGGCAGAUCAGAAAUAAGCCCAGCUUGGAAGAAAGUGAGGAUCCCAACCUGGCAGAGAAAGAGGAGCUGAUGAAGGAGACUAGAGAAGGACCCGUCUGGAAAUACAGAACUUGGUCCAAGUAAAGGAGGACCUUGAAGGUUUGGUGGGUAAAUCCCCAUUUAGAAUAAAGGCCUAUUUCUUAUCCUCUGAGCUGGAUAAGCUAUUCAGGCAGAGAACAACCUUUGAAGUUAAGGGAAACUGUGCUAUCAAGCCAAACGUGAAAUAAAAUCAGAAGGGGACCCCUAAUGCAUUAUGGAAUACAACGCAGAAUUUGGCCGAAGGUGAUGCUAAUUUUCUGCUCUUGUCAAUGAAAAACAGACGCCAGGACGACUUGCUUGCAUUCAUCUGAAUCCACAUGGCAGCGUCAGAAAGCUGGUCUCAUGGAUCCAUGGAAAUAAUUUUGAUAACUUUAACUCCAUUUCCAGUUGCAGACACAGCCAGCCUGGUGAGCACAGGCAAACUGGACAUUGGAAGACCCAGCUGCACAAAGACUCCUUCCUGUGAGAGGCUUGGAGAAGACUUUGCUCUAGACACACAAGGGAGCCUGUGGGAAGGUGCCAGGGGAGCCAAGAAGAGCAAAACCAAGGAGGCAUUGUUUCCUCCAGAGCCUCAUUCAUCAACUCGCUCUGAACAGUUAGCACGCUCAGACAGUCAUCUUCUGCACCUUGCCUUUCCCUGUGUCUUGACUGAGGGCUUAUCUGAGAGCCUUUUGUUCAGGCUCAUAAUUAUUCAGUGACUCAGGAGCCCACAAGCAUUACCCACGGAGCCAGACAAGACCAGCAAGCUCUGAGGACCACCUGUUCCAAGUCAUUUCCUGUGUGGGCGGCAACUUCACAGGGCUGAAAAUACGAGUUACGAGCUUUAAAGUAUGAUGUGAAAAAUAAGUACUUUGUACUUAUUAUGGUGCCUUUCAUCUGAGUUGCUCAUAAGCCCUGCAGACAUUGCCUCAUCCAUUUUCAGAAGACUCCUCAAAGGAAGGCCCAUCAAUUCUGGCUAUGAGGAAAACAGGACCAUGUAUUGGAAGCUGAUUCAGAGCCUACACAGCCUUCUGGAGAAUCUUACCCCAGCCCUACAAGAUAUUGCCACCUAGCUGACACUGUAACUGAGUCUUCAAAAUGCCAUUCCACUGUUUUAUCAAACCAGUUGUUUCAAGAUGGAGGGAAACAUAAGACCAGUGAAUUCCACGAGCAUGGGCCCACUGCAGCACUUCAUUUGCUGUGAAGUGAGUUCCUUGAUCAGAAGCAGUUUUUUAUGGAAUACCAUGAUGGUGGAUAAGGCAAUUCUUUAAGUCCACGGAUGGUAGUUUUGGCCAGAAGCAUUGCAUGCAGGGAAGACAAAUCUGUAUCUAUGCCAUCUAUUCCAGUAAGAAAAAACACUACUUCUUCCAUGAUGGAAGUGGUCCAAUGUAAUCAACCUGCCACCAAGUCAAUCACCUGGUUGGUCUGACUUGGCAAUAGGUCUUGAUAUUGAAUGAGUCAAUAAGGAUACAUAACUGUUACUAUUCACAAAUUUUAAGAAACUACUUUGACAGCUAUAUUUCAAUAUAAUUGCCUUUAACAGAACAAAUCCACUGAGUGUGGUGACUCAUGCCUGUAAUCCUAGUACUUUGGGAGGCCGAGGCAGGUAGAUCACCUGAGGUCAGGAGUUCGAGACCAGCCUGACCAAUAUGGUGAAACCCUGUCUCUACUAAAAAUACAAACAUUAGCUGGGCAUGGUGGCAUGUGCCUGUAAUCCCAGCAACUCAGGAGGCUGAGACAGGAGAAUCUCUUGAACCCAAGUGGCAGAGGUUGCAGUGAGCCAAGAUCUCACCAUUGCACUCCAGCCUGGACAGCCUGGACAACAGAGCGAGACUCCAUCUCAAAAAACAAACAAACAAACAAACAAACAAAAGAAACAACAACAACAAAAAAAACAAAGCGAAUUAUUGGUAAAAUACUGGAUGUAUCUUGUCUUUGAUUACAAUUAUAGAUUAAUUUAGAAUGAGGCAAUAUCUUUUGUAUUUUCUUACUGGCUAGGCAAUCGGGAAUAGUCUUCUAUAAGUGGUGCUAACAAGACUAUUUUAUUUUUCUUUUCUCUCCACUCAGCCAUGUCCCCAAUAUUUUGGACCUGAGGUAUGAAAAUAAGUACCUUAUUUCUACUCCCCCCAAUUGUUCUAUUGAAUCUAGUUCUACUGAAAUAAUUACAUCUCUGUUGCUGCAUUCCAAUCAUGAGCUUGAUUGUAAUCUCAGCAUUUUAGGCACAGUAGAACAAGGAAGAGCUUUCCAUCAGAAGUGAUCGCAGGAGACACUGUUCAUUAGUUCGACUACUAUUUUUCAGAGCACACCCUGAAAGUCAGGAGUAAUACCAGGUAAUUUAGGGCUUCAAGAAUGGAUGAAACAUGGCUACAACAGUAAAGGAGCUUAAUCAAGCAAGAGAGACAGGCAUGUAGAAGGCCCUGGGAACCCAGAAAAUGGAGCAGGAGACUCUGUCUGGCACAAGGAAGGUGGCUUUAUGGAUGGAGGUACAUUUACACCUGGUCUGUAAGAAUGGGUAUGGUUUCGCAUAGUAGAAAAGGGACAAGGGAGAAAGACUGGAUACAAAAGAAGGGGAUUAGUGGUGGAGCAAUUACAAUUAGAGGAGGCAAUAAAAGGAGUGGGGACAUAGUGUAUUUUAGGGACCACAACCAGUGUCUAUGGAGCUAGAAUAAAAAUUAUCCGGGUAAGAAGAUGAAGUUAGGUGUUGCUGGAAAGGUAGGAUGCCGUGGAGACUGGACUUGGGAUUUGACAACCAGUAACUGAAAGCCAUCAAUAACUUCUAGGCAGGGGAAUAACAUGAUCAGAUGCGUGUUAGAAAGAUGACUCAGGAGACCACAUAUUUAAGGAAAACAAUGGAAUCACAAUAUCCUGGGACCAUUCUGAAUUUGGGGAAACAAAGAGAGAGAGAGAGAAAGAAAAGAAUCAAAGAUACCUUUUGAAUGCCUAGCUUAGGUGAGAGGUUUGGUGGUGACAUCCCUAAUGGGGGAAAGGUCAAGUUAGAGGCAGAGAAUCAAGGUCUGGAGAUCUAGAGAGAUCCUGAGUCUGGGAAAAUAAAGGUAUGAGUCAUCUACAUGGAAGUGAUAGUUAAAGCUAUGGGAAUGAAGGAGCUUUCCUGGGAGAACGUCUAGACUUGUGAUGUGAAGAGCCUUGAGGACAAAACCCGGGGGAGCACUAACGGGUAAGAGUGGUGCCAAGAAAGAUGAGUCAGUGAGGGAAACAAGGAGAGGAGGCAGAGGAUCCUACGGAGAAUCAAGAAAUGCUAUAAGAAAUUAGGAGGCAAACUCAGAGCAGCAAGGUGGGUGGGAGAAUUGCAAUAAGAGCUUCCAAAGUGGUUGUGGAAGCUAAGAUUAGAAAUUUGAAUUCUGGGUUGGGCACGGUGGCUCACGCCUGUAAUCCCAGCACUUUGGGAGGCUGAGGCGGGCAGAUCACCUGAGGUCCGGAGUUCGAGACCAGCCUGACCAACAUGGAGAAACCCCAUCUCUACUAAAACUACAAACUUAGCUGGGCCUGGUGGUGCAUGCCUGUAAUCCCAGCUACUCCGGAGGCUGAGGCAGGAGAAUGGCUUGAACCCAGGAAGUGGAGGUUGCUGUGAGCCGAGAUCACGCCAUUGCACUCCAGCCUGGGAAACAAGAGCGAAACUCCGUCUCAAAAAAAAAAAAAAAAAAAAGAAAGAAAGAAAGAAAAAGAAAAAAAAAAAAAAGAAAUUUGAAUUCUGGAGGUGAAGUGACAUUGUCCACAUAGGACAACAUCCGGGUGCUGUUGUGGGAAAUGUUGAGCUGAGAUGUAGGUGAAAAGAUCUAGCAAUUCAAAGUCAAGGGUGAUUCAGUUCCUCCAAGAAGAGGUUUACAGGAGGUUAUGCACUGCUUGAGAGGAGCACAUAGAUGAGAUGACAAGUCACUUGCUUUCAGAGGCCUGCAGACCAAGGUGGCACCUGCAUUUUCCCCACAAUGGAGUGGCAAGAUGAAGAAAGACCCUCCAACAUGAAAGUUUGUUUUCGGGUUGGUUUAUUGCAAUAUUGCAGUUGGUGCUCCUUGUGACUGUGAGAUAGUCAAGGCUAGCGAAAGGUAAUAUACCCAAGGUAGAGUUUGUUCAAAUCUAUUUGGUUAGAUAUGGGCCAAGCCAUAGCCUUGGCUUCCUGACCACUAAGCUCUCAGCCACCUAAGAAGCCGUCUUCUUCUGAAGCCCAUUCCUAUCAAGAGCCUAUUCCUAUCAUUUGGUACGACGGUGAGCUAUCCGGGGACACGCAUGAAGAGGCAAAUCUCUUCCCAAGCUCCAUCUUCUGUAGAAGCCAAGCUUCUGGUCCUGCUCUUAUCUUUUUCAUGAACAUUCGCCAGUCCCUGCUGUCACUCUUGCUCCCCACAGUCUCCAUCUGGCCCCUCAGCCAGGUUCCCUUUGAAAUGAUGAAGCUGAAGACUGGAGAAGUGUAUACAAUGGAAAGGAAUGGGAUCUGUAGUCAAAGAUGUGGAAUCAAACUUUGACACUUGACAAACUGAGUUGGCCAAAUGGUUUUACAUCCUUGAGUCUCAGGAUCCUUCUUUAUAAAGUAACCCAACCUCAUCAGGGUGGAGUCAUGGCAAAACAAGGUAGGGUAUAUACAUUGCUGGUGGAAUGCAAAGUGGUACAGCCACAGUGGAAAACAGUUUGAUGGUUCUUCCAAGAGUUAAAGCUACCAUACGACCCAGAAAUUCCACUCCUACCUACAUACUGAAAAGAAUUAAAGACAGAUGCUCAAACAAAUACAGGUACUCCUAUGUUCACAGCAGCAUUAUUCACAAGAGACAAGAGAUGAAAACAACCCGAACGCCCAAUAAUAGAUGAAUGGAUAAAGAAAAUGUGGUAUAUACAGACAAUGGUGUAUUAUUCAGCCCUAAAAAGGAAUGAAAUUUGGAUACAUGCUACAACGUGGACGUACCUCAAAAACAUUACACCCAGCAAAAGAAGCCAGAUGCAAAAGACCACAUACUGCAUGAUUCUAUUUAUAUGAAAUAUCUAGAAUAGGAAAAUCCACAGGAACAGAGAGUAGAUUGGUGGUUGCCAUAGGCUGCGGGAGAGGGAAUAAGGAGUGAUUUUUCAUGGCCACAGAGUUCCUUUCAGGUGAUGCAACUGUUUUGCAAGUAGAUAGAGGUAGUGGUUGUACAACAUCGUGAAUGUACUAAGUGCCAUUGAAAUGUUCACUUUUAAAAUGAUCAAGAUUAUUUUUGAAUUUCAUCUGAGUUGAAAAAAAAAUGAGUGUAUAUGAAAAUAUUCCUUAUAUGUUUUUAGUGACUUACCCAGGGUCACUCAGGUGGUUGGAAGAUGGGUGGAUAAAAGGCUAUGUAGAGAGGUCAGAGGGAGUCUGAAUCUUCUAGUGACUCAUUCUAUUUAUUUAUUAAUAAUCGAGCAAUAAACGUAUAUAUUUGUGAACAUCAUGAUGCUUUGAUACAUGUAUCCCUUGUGGAAUGGCUAAAUCAAGCUAAUUAACAUAUGCAUCACCCUACUUAUCAUAUUUUUUGGUAGUGAGAACACUUGGUAUUUACACUUUCAGCAAUUUUUAUGUAUAAAACAUACUGUUAUUGACUAGAGUCACCAUGCUGCACAAUAGAUCUCCAGAACUGAUUCCUGCUGUCUAACAGAAAUUUUGUAUCCUUUGACCAUCAUGUUUCCCAACCCUCAUCCCCAGCCUCUGGAAACCACCAUUCCACUCUGUGCUUCUACGAGUUUGACUUUUUCAGAUUCCACAUAUGAGUGAGAUCAUGUGGUAUUUGUCUGUCUGUGCCUGGCUUAUUUCACUUAACACAAUGUUCUCUCUUUUUUAAGGCUGCAUAGUAUUCCACUGGGUACAUAUACCACAUUUUCUUUAUCCAUUGAUGAAUCUUUAGGUCGAUCUCCUAACUUGGCCAUUGUAAAUAAUGCUACAAUGAGCGUGGGGGUGCAGGCAUCUCUCUGACAUACCAAUUUUAUAUCCAUCUAGUGACUCUUUCUUGACAGAGAAAAACUUUUCUCUGAACCUCCCCCAAAUUUUCCUUCAGGUCUCACUGCCCAAAACGAGGUCACAUGACUAUACCUAAAUCAGUCAUGACAGACAAAUGGAGGGGGUUGUCGUUAGACCAGUCAGGCGUGGCUAAUCCCUUUGCACCCAUACGGUGGCCAAGUGUGUGUACUUAGGAGGCACACAUUUUGUGCUGUGGAGAAAGGCUGAACUUCCUCACAAAGACUCAGAAACACUUGGCAAAUCUAAAGGACAGUCAAGAAGGAGACAUAAAACAGAUACAAAACUGGAUACAAAAUAUGGUGACUGCGUUAAGAAGACCUCCCAUUGGAGACAGCUUUACAGAAGAGAUGAGAGUAGGAGAAUGAUUUAGGGAGAGAGGUGGGUGGUGAAUACAGUGGGCCCUUGAGGAGAAAACACCUGGGAAGUCCUGGCUUGCAACUCCUACUCUGGAGGUGACCCUGGAAAAGUCUGGAUUUACCCUGAAUGAACCGAACUCUCCCCGAGCUUCAUUUUUCUUAUCUGUGAAAAAAGGGUAGAGACGCCUUCCUCACAGAGACACUGAAAGAAUUAUACUCGGAGAUGGAAAAAAAAUACUGCCUAAUUUAUGGUAAGAUUAGAGACUGUUUAGUCUCUAGUCUUGACUGUCAUCCCAAAAUGACAUGAUUAAAGAUGGGUUUUCACUUUAUAAUAAA